RNAcentral lists this ribosomal RNA (253 nucleotides) under uncultured Acidobacteriota bacterium. RNAcentral describes it as "uncultured Acidobacteria bacterium partial 16S ribosomal RNA". It matches the Rfam family "Bacterial small subunit ribosomal RNA", at positions 524 to 776 of the family's 1533-position model. Lineage: Bacteria; Pseudomonadati; Acidobacteriota. The record is from RNAcentral.
GACGUAGGGACCAAGCGUUGUUCGGAUUUACUGGGCGUAAAGGGCGCGUAGGCGGUUUGUCAAGUCAGUUGUGAAAUCUCCGAGCUUAACUCGGAACGGUCAACUGAUACUGUCAAACUAGAGUACAGAAGGGGCAAUCGGAAUUCUUGGUGUAGCGGUGAAAUGCGUAGAUAUCAAGAGGAACACCUGAGGUGAAGACGGGUUGCUGGGCUGAUACUGACGCUGAGGCGCGAAAGCUAGGGUAGCAAACGGG